This 195-nucleotide small nuclear RNA is filed under the name Trichuris muris. RNAcentral describes it as "snRNA TMUE_0100000274". It matches the Rfam family "U2 spliceosomal RNA". Rfam says of the family: U2 is a small nuclear RNA (snRNA) component of the spliceosome (involved in pre-mRNA splicing). Lineage: Eukaryota; Metazoa; Nematoda; Enoplea; Trichinellida; Trichuridae. The record is from RNAcentral.
AUCGCUUCUCGGCUCUCAGGAGCUAAGAACAAAUUGUAGUAUCUGUUCUUAUCAGCUUAAUAUCUGAUACGGUGUCCAUGUGGCCCCAAAGAUAUUAAAUGAACUUUUGAAAAGUAGAUGCGGUCGUAACAGAUGCAGUUCGCCCACCGCGGGUCGGCCUGGUACUGCACUACCUCCGGGAUCGGCCCAAACGAU